AACUUUUGGCAACGGAUCUCUUGGCUCUCGCAUCGAUGAAGAACGCAGCGAAAUGCGAUAAGUAAUGUUAAUUGCAGAUUUUCAGUGAAUCAUCGAAUCUUUGAACGCACCUUGCGCUCCUUGGUAUUCCGAGGAGCAUGCCUGUUUGAGUGUCAUUAAAUACCUCAACCCUGAUGGAUUUGUUUCUUUCGGGGCUUGGACUUUGGAGCGUGCUGGCGUGAGUCGGCUCCUCUCAAAUGAAUCAGCGGAAAUCAAUCCUUGGCUUCAGUGUGAUAAUCAUGUUACGCUGUGGUCUGAGCCUUGGGUCCGCUUACAAUGGUCUUUGGACGAUUUAUCAAAUUUGACCUCAAAUCAGGUAGGACUACCCGCUGAACUUAAGCAUAUCAAUAAGCGGAGGCU
This 399-nucleotide unclassified non-coding RNA is filed under the name uncultured Atheliaceae. RNAcentral describes it as "sequence contains ITS2". The stretch from base 1 to 155 matches the Rfam family "5.8S ribosomal RNA". Lineage: Eukaryota; Fungi; Basidiomycota; Agaricomycetes; Atheliales; Atheliaceae. The record is from RNAcentral.